GACGAACGCUGGCGGCGUGCUUAACACAUGCAAGUCGAACGGAAAGGCCCUGCUUUUGUUGGGUGCUCGAGUGGCGAACGGGUGAGUAACACGUGAGUAACCUGCCCUUGACUUUGGGAUAACUUCAGGAAACUGGGGCUAAUACCGGAUAGGAUCUCCUGCUGCAUGGUGGGGGUUGGAAAGUUUCGGCUUUUGUGGAUGGACUCGCGGCUUAUCAGCUUGUUUGUGGGGUAGUGGCUUACCAAGGCUUUGACGGGUAGCCGGCCUGAGAGGGUUACCGGCCACAUUGGGCCUGAGGUACGGACCAGACUCCAACGGGAGGCAGCAGUGGGGAAUAUUGCACAAUGGGCGGAAGCCUGAUGCAGCAACGCCGCGUGCGGGAUGACGGCCUUCGGGUUGUAAACAGAUUUCGACUGUGACGAAGCGUGAGUGACGGUAAUGGGUAAAGAAGCAACGGCUAACUACGUG
This 468-nucleotide ribosomal RNA is filed under the name uncultured bacterium. RNAcentral's name for it is "partial 16S ribosomal RNA". It matches the Rfam family "Bacterial small subunit ribosomal RNA", at positions 28 to 507 of the family's 1533-position model. The record is from RNAcentral.